CCUCCAGACGCAAUAUCGUGUGAUCGUUUCGUCUCCUCCUCCACCCCCACGCAUCAGCUCGAGCGUCAGGCAAACUUUGCAGUCACGCACUCGCCAGCCGCCGACGACGACGAUCAGCGUGAGUGCUAUUGCCGGCAGGCGGCAGGGGCAGCUUGCCGCACGCUUCACACACACGAACCAGGCAAGCAGUUUUUCUCGUAUCUUGGACCUUGAAGAUAGCUUACCACAUGUCCCAUGAAUUAUCUUGGACCUUGAAGAUAGCUUACCACAAGGUCAGUCUGUGCAUUUUUUUUUUCAAAAUAAUUCUUUCAACUUCGAAUUCCUUUUCUUUUUUGAGAAACACUGUAUGAAUACAGACGCUAGACAACAUAUAUAUACACACACUCACCUUUAUGAACGUACACAUGCAUAGACUGAGCUGGCGGGUAUGCAAAUUAACAAAGUAACCAUAGACACCUCGCUACUCACGCGAACGUUGCCUCAUACUAAAA
Molecule: long non-coding RNA, 491 nt
Organism: Triticum aestivum (bread wheat)
Lineage: Eukaryota; Viridiplantae; Streptophyta; Magnoliopsida; Poales; Poaceae
Exons: 2
Source: RefSeq, a predicted model, not a curated record